RNAcentral lists this ribosomal RNA (1094 nucleotides) under Salmonella enterica subsp. enterica serovar Weltevreden. Its description in RNAcentral is "partial 23S ribosomal RNA". It matches the Rfam family "Bacterial large subunit ribosomal RNA", at positions 552 to 1547 of the family's 2925-position model. Lineage: Bacteria; Pseudomonadati; Pseudomonadota; Gammaproteobacteria; Enterobacterales; Enterobacteriaceae. The record is from RNAcentral.
GAAACCGUGUACGUACAAGCAGUGGGAGCCCCACCACCAAAGCAUUCUCUGGUGUUGAAGGCCCUGCAAAGCAGCAUCGCGGUGGCGGAGCGUCGUUUGCGACGCCCAACACACAAAACAAGCGGUGAGUGCUUUGGGGUGGGGUGACUGCGUACCUUUUGUAUAAUGGGUCAGCGACUUAUAUUCUGUAGCAAGGUUAACCGUAUAGGGGAGCCGGAGGGAAACCGAGUCUUAACCGGGCGUUAAGUUGCAGGGUAUAGACCCGAAACCCGGUGAUCUAGCCAUGGGCAGGUUGAAGGUUGGGUAACACUAACUGGAGGACCGAACCGACUAAUGUUGAAAAAUUAGCGGAUGACCUGUGGCUGGGGGUGAAAGGCCAAUCAAACCGGGAGAUAGCUGGUUCUCCCCGAAAGCUAUUUAGGUAGCGCCUCGUGAAUUCAUCUCCGGGGGUAGAGCACUGUUUCGGCUAGGGGGCCAUCCCGGCUUACCAACCCGAUGCAAACUGCGAAUACCGGAGAAUGUUAUCACGGGAGACACACGGCGGGUGCUAACGUCCGUCGUGAAGAGGGAAACAACCCAGACCGCCAGCUAAGGUCCCAAAGUCAUGGUUAAGUGGGAAACGAUGUGGGAAGGCCCAGACAGCCAGGAUGUUGGCUUAGAAGCAGCCAUCAUUUAAAGAAAGCGUAAUAGCUCACUGGUCGAGUCGGCCUGCGCGGAAGAUGUAACGGGGCUAAACCAUGCACCGAAGCUGCGGCAGCGACGCUUAUGCGUUGUUGGGUAGGGGAGCGUUCUGUAAGCCUGUGAAGGUGGCCUGUGAGGGUUGCUGGAGGUAUCAGAAGUGCGAAUGCUGACAUAAGUAACGAUAAAGCGGGUGAAAAGCCCGCUCGCCGGAAGACCAAGGGUUCCUGUCCAACGUUAAUCGGGGCAGGGUGAGUCGACCCCUAAGGCGAGGCCGAAAGGCGUAGUCGAUGGGAAACGGGUUAAUAUUCCCGUACUUGGUGUUACUGCGAAGGGGGGACGGAGAAGGCUAUGUUGGCCGGGCGACGGUUGUCCCGGUUUAAGCGUGUAGGUGUGUGUUCCAGGUAAAUCCGGUU